CUACAGAGGGUGCGAGCGUUAAUCGGAAUUACUGGGCGUAAAGCGCGCGUAGGCGGCUACUUAAGUCAGAUGUGAAAUCCCCGGGCUCAACCUGGGAACUGCAUCUGAUACUGGGUAGCUAGAGGUUUGGAGAGGGAAGUAGAAUUUCAGGUGUAGCGGUGAAAUGCAUAGAGAUCUGAAGGAAUACCAGUGGCGAAGGCGACUUCCUGGCCAAAAACUGACGCUGAGGUGCGAAAGCGUGGGUAGCAAACGGGAUUAGAUACCCCAGUAGUCC
This 274-nucleotide ribosomal RNA is filed under the name uncultured bacterium. RNAcentral describes it as "partial 16S ribosomal RNA". It matches the Rfam family "Bacterial small subunit ribosomal RNA", at positions 523 to 796 of the family's 1533-position model. The record is from RNAcentral.